GACGAACGCUGGCGGCGUGCCUAAUACAUGCAAGUAGAACGCUGAAGGAGGAGCUUGCUCUUCUGGAUGAGUUGCGAACGGGUGAGUAACGCGUAGGUAACCUGCCUGGUAGCGGGGGAUAACUAUUGGAAACGAUAGCUAAUACCGCAUAAGAGUAGAUGUUGCAUGACAUUUACUUAAAAGGUGCAAUUGCAUCACUACCAGAUGGACCUGCGUUGUAUUAGCUAGUUGGUGGGGUAACGGCUUACCAAGGCGACGAUACAUAGCCGACCUGAGAGGGGGAUCGGCCACACUGGGACUGAGACACGGCCCAGACUCCUACGGGAGGCAGCAGUAGGGAAUCUUCGGCAAUGGACGGAAGUCUGACCGAGCAACGCCGCGUGAGUGAAGAAGGUUUUCGGAUCGUAAAGCUCUGUUGUAAGAGAAGAACGAGUGUGAGAGUGGAAAGUUCACACUGUGACGGUAUCUUACCAGAAAGAGACGGCUAACUACGUG
RNAcentral lists this ribosomal RNA (495 nucleotides) under uncultured bacterium. Its description in RNAcentral is "partial 16S ribosomal RNA". It matches the Rfam family "Bacterial small subunit ribosomal RNA", at positions 28 to 507 of the family's 1533-position model. The record is from RNAcentral.